Molecule: ribosomal RNA, 811 nt
Filed under: uncultured Pseudomonas sp.
Lineage: Bacteria; Pseudomonadati; Pseudomonadota; Gammaproteobacteria; Pseudomonadales; Pseudomonadaceae
Description: bacterial SSU rRNA
Rfam family: Bacterial small subunit ribosomal RNA
Source: RNAcentral
UCGAGCGGUAGAGAGAACUUGCUUCUCUUGAGAGCGGCGGACGGGUGAGUAAUGCCUAGGAAUCUGCCUGGUAGUGGGGGAUAACGUUCGGAAACGGACGCUAAUACCGCAUACGUCCUACGGGAGAAAGCAGGGGACCUUCGGGCCUUGCGCUAUCAGAUGAGCCUAGGUCGGAUUAGCUAGUUGGUGAGGUAAUGGCUCACCAAGGCGACGAUCCGUAACUGGUCUGAGAGGAUGAUCAGUCACACUGGAACUGAGACACGGUCCAGACUCCUACGGGAGGCAGCAGUGGGGAAUAUUGGACAAUGGGCGAAAGCCUGAUCCAGCCAUGCCGCGUGUGUGAAGAAGGUCUUCGGAUUGUAAAGCACUUUAAGUUGGGAGGAAGGGUUGUAGAUUAAUACUCUGCAAUUUUGACGUUACCGACAGAAUAAGCACCGGCUAACUCUGUGCCAGCAGCCGCGGUAAUACAGAGGGUGCAAGCGUUAAUCGGAAUUACUGGGCGUAAAGCGCGCGUAGGUGGUUUGUUAAGUUGGAUGUGAAAUCCCCGGGCUCAACCUGGGAACUGCAUUCAAAACUGACUGACUAGAGUAUGGUAGAGGGUGGUGGAAUUUCCUGUGUAGCGGUGAAAUGCGUAGAUAUAGGAAGGAACACCAGUGGCGAAGGCGACCACCUGGACUAAUACUGACACUGAGGUGCGAAAGCGUGGGGAGCAAACAGGAUUAGAUACCCUGGUAGUCCACGCCGUANACGAUGUCAACUAGCCGUUGGAANCCUUGAGCUUUUAGUGGCGCAGCUAACGCAUUAAGUUGAC